This 386-nucleotide transfer-messenger RNA is filed under the name Streptomyces echinoruber. It matches the Rfam family "transfer-messenger RNA". From Rfam's summary of the family: Bacterial tmRNA, also known as 10Sa RNA or SsrA, is named for its dual tRNA and mRNA-like properties. The record is from RNAcentral. Lineage: Bacteria; Bacillati; Actinomycetota; Actinomycetes; Kitasatosporales; Streptomycetaceae.
GGGGAUGAUCGGUUUCGACAGCGGUUGUCGAAGCAGGGGAAGCGUGCCGAGGAAGCGGCCAUGAUCUCGUAAACCACAGGCCGAAAAAAAUAAUCGCCAACACCAAGCGCGAUUCCUCCCAGUUCGCCCUCGCUGCCUGAUAAGCGGCGAAGCGAACUCCUACGGGAGUGUCAGCCCGGGACUGUUCCCGACCCGGAUCCUGGCAUCAGCUAGGGAACUCAACCUCUAAGCCCGGUCACGGGGCGUAGAGGGAAACCACACAGUGACUGAGCCCGUCGGAGACUUGUCCGCGUGAUCUCCGGGGCCGAGAAAAGCGAAGCGGACUGCGCACGGAGAAGCCCUGGUUCUGCACCGUUGGACGCGGGUUCGAUUCCCGCCAUCUCCAC